CCAGCCCAAGGGCCGAGGAAAGCACUCGUGGAGCAACAUCUCUAAAAGAAGCAAAACAAAAAUACGAAUUCUUCUGGAAAAUGCAUUCUCCCUUCAGUCAGUGGUACCCAGCAAGUUUCGAGGUGAAUGGCCAGAAGUACAACUGUGCUGAGCAGGACAUGAUGUACCAGAAAGCAGUGCUGUUUGCUGAUGAGGAAAAUGCUGCAAAAGUUCUCAAGACACAGGAUCCUAAACAACAGAAGUCCCUUGGUCGGAAAGUGAAGAACUGAGAUGAUAAAACAUGGAAGGAUAACUGCCACAGAAUCGUAGAGGAGGCGAAUGAAGCCAAGUUUGGUCAGAAUGAGGGCCUGAAGAAGCAGUUAUUCGCGACAUAUCCCAAGACUCUAGUAGAGGCCAGUCCGGUGGAUGCUAUAUGGGGGAUAGGGUACGCGGAGGACCACGUCAACGCCUGGGAUGAGAGGAGUUGGAGGGGGACCAACUACCUGGGGUAUGCCUUGACAAGGGUUAGGGAGAAAUUGAUGAAGCAAGACGGACUCAAAUGAACAUUUACCAUCAUACCUCUGUAGUACCAUCUCUCAGCCACAUGCUUGCUGCAUGACGGACAACCAGACCUAGAUCAUGGUGACCAUGGUGACAAGAGUGUUUCAAAGUGUUGCUAGGUUACCCACCGGAUGGGUGUCAAUAUCUACAACAAUUAAUUGUUAGAUUUUGCAUCCAAAUUUUCAAUUAUGUAAGCUGGAAGAUAUUAUUUGUUUAAUGUUUUUAAACAGGUUGUUAAAGAUGGCCGCGACCUUCUGAUGGAUGUGAAUCAUGGCGUAGGGAUGCAAGUGUUUUAAUUGUUUCUGUUUUAAAAGUUACGUCCCAACUUUUGUCACAAGAGGCUUUUGUCUCAGGCCAUGCUUCCAUGCUGUGAAAAAAAAAAUUGAAAUACCGUCAGAGAUGUUGUUAAACAAGGACUUGUAUAGACUUGUUAUUUUUUAGAGUAGUUGAUAUUAUUUCUGUAGUGUUGGUGUUAUUUUCUGUUAUUAUACUUAAUAUUGCUGAGUGCGGCGUAAAACUACACUCACCAAACUAUUAUUAUACUAAUCAUUUAAGCAUUUAUUCAAGUGAUGAUAUGUCAGAAUUUCAAAAUCAGUCCACAGGCCCGCCUGUCUUUGUGAGGAUUAAAGAUUUAAAAAGUUAUUUUUUUUAGAUGACCCCCCCAAUUCGAAAUGCUUCCCAGUACAAUACAGUCGGGGGUCAUGAAAAA
This is a long non-coding RNA of Haliotis rubra (blacklip abalone), 1249 nucleotides long. RefSeq lists it as uncharacterized. Lineage: Eukaryota; Metazoa; Mollusca; Gastropoda; Lepetellida; Haliotidae. The record is from RefSeq and is a predicted model, not a curated record. The transcript has 3 exons.